UCGAGGAUCUUCGGCAAUGGGCGCAAGCCUGACCGAGCGACGCCGCGUGUGCGAUGAAGGCCUUCGGGUUGUAAAGCACUGUCGAGGGGGAGAAAGGUCCGCAAGGGCUUGAUCUAUCCCUGGAGGAAGCACGGGCUAAGUUCGUGCCAGCAGCCGCGGUAAGACGAACCGUGCGAACGUUGUUCGGAAUCACUGGGCUUAAAGGGCGCGUAGGCGGGUCUUCAAGUCAGGAGUGAAAUCCUCCGGCCCAACCGGAGAAGCGCUUUUGAUACUGGAGACCUCGAGGGGUGUAGGGGCAUGUGGAACUUCCGGUGGAGCGGUGAAAUGCGUAGAUAUCGGAAGGAACGCCGGUGGCGAAAGCGACGUGCUGGACACCUACUGACGCUGAGGCGCGAAAGCCAGGGGAGCAAACGGGAUUAGAUACCCCGGUAGUCC
Molecule: ribosomal RNA, 435 nt
Filed under: uncultured bacterium
Lineage: Bacteria
Description: bacterial SSU rRNA
Rfam family: Bacterial small subunit ribosomal RNA
Source: RNAcentral